UACGAAGGGGGCUAGCGUUGCUCGGAAUCACUGGGCGUAAAGCGCACGUAGGCGGAUCGUUAAGUCAGGGGUGAAAUCCUGGAGCUCAACUCCAGAACUGCCUUUGAUACUGGCGACCUUGAGUUCGGGAGAGGUGAGUGGAACUGCGAGUGUAGAGGUGAAAUUCGUAGAUAUUCGCAAGAACACCAGUGGCGAAGGCGGCUCACUGGCCCGAUACUGACGCUGAGGUGCGAAAGCGUGGGGAGCAAAC
This 250-nucleotide ribosomal RNA is filed under the name uncultured bacterium. RNAcentral's name for it is "partial 16S ribosomal RNA". It matches the Rfam family "Bacterial small subunit ribosomal RNA", at positions 524 to 773 of the family's 1533-position model. The record is from RNAcentral.